RNAcentral lists this ribosomal RNA (392 nucleotides) under uncultured bacterium. RNAcentral's name for it is "bacterial SSU rRNA". It matches the Rfam family "Bacterial small subunit ribosomal RNA", at positions 505 to 898 of the family's 1533-position model. The record is from RNAcentral.
GUGUCAGCAGCCGCGGUAAUACGUAGGGGGCAAGCGUUGUCCGGAAUUAUUGGGCGUAAAGCGCGCGCAGGCGGUUGGUUAAGUUUGGUGUUUAAGCCCGAGGCUCAACCUCGGUUCGCAUCGAAAACUGGCCAACUUGAGUGUAGGAGAGGAAAGUGGAAUUCCACGUGUAGCGGUGAAAUGCGUAGAGAUGUGGAGGAACACCAGUGGCGAAGGCGACUUUCUGGCCUAUAACUGACGCUGAGGCGCGAAAGCGUGGGGAGCAAACAGGAUUAGAUACCCUGGUAGUCCACGCCGUAAACGAUGCAUGCUAGGUGUUGGGGAUUCGAUUCCUCGGUGCCGAAGUUAACACAGUAAGCAUGCCGCCUGGGGAGUACGCUCGCAAGAGUGAA